This 270-nucleotide ribosomal RNA is filed under the name uncultured bacterium. RNAcentral's name for it is "partial 16S ribosomal RNA". It matches the Rfam family "Bacterial small subunit ribosomal RNA", at positions 524 to 776 of the family's 1533-position model. The record is from RNAcentral.
UACAGAGGGUGCGAGCGUUAAUCGGAAUUACUGGGCGUAAAGCGCGCGUAGGCGGCUUUGCAAGUCGGGUGUGAAAUCCCCAGGCUUAACCUGGGAACUGCAUUCGAGACUGCAUUGCUAGAGUAUGGGAGAGGGAAGUGGAAUUUCCGGUGUAGCGGUGAAAUGCGUAGAUAUCGGAAGGAACAUCAGUGGCGAAGGCGGCCUGCUGGGCAGUGGCUCGCAAGAGUCAAUAGCUGACGCUGAGGCGCGACAGCGUGGGGAGCAAACAGG